This 106-nucleotide ribosomal RNA is filed under the name Erinaceus europaeus (western European hedgehog). The record is from RNAcentral. Lineage: Eukaryota; Metazoa; Chordata; Mammalia; Eulipotyphla; Erinaceidae.
ACUGCUUGCUAUACUACCCUGAACACGCCCGAUCUCCUGUGAUCUUGGAGGCUAAGCAGGGUGGGGCCUGGUGAGUACUUGGAUGGGAGAACAGGAAAAGGUAGAU